This 256-nucleotide ribosomal RNA is filed under the name Alexandrium margalefii. RNAcentral describes it as "partial Bacterial small subunit ribosomal RNA". It matches the Rfam family "Bacterial small subunit ribosomal RNA", at positions 31 to 305 of the family's 1533-position model. Lineage: Eukaryota; Dinophyceae; Gonyaulacales; Pyrocystaceae. The record is from RNAcentral.
GAACGCUGGCGGCAUGCCUAACACAUGCAAGUCGAACGUGAAGCAUCCUUCGGGAUGUGGAAAGUGGCGCACGGGUGAGUAACGCGUGGGAACCUGCCUAGAAGUUCAGAAUAACCAUUGGAAACGAUGGCUAAUACUGGAUACGCCCUUCGGGGGAAAGAUUUAUCGCUUCUAGAUGGGCCCGCGUCCGAUUAGAUAGUUGGUGGGGUAAUGGCCUACCAAGGCGACGAUCCAUAGCUGGUCUGAGAGGAUGAUC